Molecule: long non-coding RNA, 772 nt
Filed under: Ovis aries (sheep)
Lineage: Eukaryota; Metazoa; Chordata; Mammalia; Artiodactyla; Bovidae
Description: lncRNA (ENSOARG00000026685.1)
Source: RNAcentral
AUGCUCUCAGAUCUCAAGGUCUGGGGCAGUAGCAUCAGUGGGAGUCAGGGUCAUCAGAUUUCUGGACUCAACUGGUCUGAGUUCUUUAUGCUUGUGAGCACCAUACAGUUAACUUCUCCCACCUGGUGGGGGUUUUGUAUAUGCAAAACAGCUCAAAGGUAUUUUAUGUAUAUCCCUUCAGGGGGAUAUACCCCUGCCCAGGAGGUCUAUAGUUACUGCUCAUCCCUUGUCUCUACCUCCCCUCCCUUCAAAGGAACUCAGAGAAGGACAUGGACGCUGUUCAGUUCACCUCAGUCAUGUCCGCCUCUUUAUGACCCCAUAAACUGCAGCUCUCCAGGCUUCCCUGUCCCUCAAAAACUCCUGGAGCUUGCUCACACUCAUGUCCAUAAAUUCAGUGAUGCCAUCCAACCAUCUCAUCCAUUGUCGUCCCCUUCUCCUUCCACCUUCAAUAUUUCCCAGCAUCAGGGUCUUUUCAAAUGAGUCAGUUCUUCACAUCAGGUGGCCAAAGAUUUAGAGGUUCAGCUUCAGCAUCAGUCUUUCCAAUGAAUAUUCAGGACUGAUUUCCUUUAGGAUUGACUGGUUGGAUCUCUUUGCAGUCCAAGGGACUCUCAAGAGUCUUCUCCAACACCACAGUUCAAAAGCAUCAAUUCUUCGGCACUCAGCCUUCUUCACAGUCCAAUUCUCACAUUCAUACAUGACUACUGGAAAAACCAUAGCCUUGACUAGACAGACCUUUGUUGACAGAGUAAUGUCUCUACCUUUUAAUAUGCUG